AAAUCCCCUCAGGAUCCCUCAAAUCCCCUCAGGAUCCCCCAAAUCCCCCCCCUUGACCUUUCCCCCAGUUUCCACUUCCCGCCCUUUGCCCCAGUUCUGACGUCACGCGCGUGAGGGAAGGGCGGGGUUUUCUUUGGGAUCCUUUUUUUAAAGGGAUUUGGGAAGGAUUUGGGGCUGGAAUUUUGUGGAAUUCUGUGGAAUUCUGUGGAAUUUUGUGGAAUUUUCUGGAAUUUUGGAGGUUUUCUUACCUGCGCCUCGUGCGUGCUCUGCAGCCGGGGCGCCCCAAAUCUGUGAAUUGAGGGGGUUUUAAAAAAGGAUUCCCCCAAAAAUAAACAACUCUGAGACCCCUCUCCCCCAAAUUCCCAUCCCCCUCCUCCUCAAAUUCUGGGGGAUCCCCAAAAUCCCCACAAGAUUUGGGAUCCCCCCCCAAAAGCUCCCCUCAAAUUCCUCAAUCCGAACCCCCAAACUUCCAGAACCUUCAAAACCCCCAAUUCCGAGAGCCCCCCCCCAAAAAACCCCCAAAAUUCAAAAAAACCCCAAAAAAUCCCAGCGCCCCCAAAACCUCAGGACCCCCCAAACUUCCAGAACCUUCUCAGAAUCCCCCCCAAAUCCCAAAUUUUGGUGUUCCCCCCACUCAAAUCCUCACCCGGGCGGGAUCCGCCGCAGCAGCCGCAGCCCCGCUCCCAGCCCCAGCCCGGCCAUGUCGCCGCUGUCGCCGCUGUCGCCGCUGUCGCGAUAAAUCCGGGGGUGUCCCAGGGGUGUCCCCAAGCCCCCCCCCUUCCCCUCACACAAGGUCACGGCCGUGGGCGUGGCCUCGGCGCGCGGGGCACGCUGGGAAACGUAGUGAACCCGCCCAACUUCCUAUGCUAAUUUAUGCUAAUUUAUGCUAAUGACGCGGGGUUAUAUUACGCCCCCGUGUUGUUGCCGUGGUGAUAGUUGCUGUGGGCGUGGCCUGGCGUGAGGGGAGGCGCUUAAAGGCUCGGAGGCGCUGCCGAAGACGUUUGAAUUGAGUUUUCGCCAUCUUUCCCCCAUCACAUUUCCCACCCUUUUCCCCUUGCAUUUCUACCACCUUCUCUCCUCACGUUUCUUGCCCUUUUUUUGCCUCACGUUUUCCACUUCAUACCCAUUUCUAGUUGGUUUUUGCCCUCACUUUUCAAACCAUUUUCUCCUAACGUUUCCCACCGUUCCCCCUCACUUCUCCCAAUUUUUCCUGCCCUUUUCCCCUCAUGUUCACCACUCACAUUUCCCCCUCACAUUUCUUUGUCUCAACAUCUUACCCAUUUUCUCCUCACGUUUCUGCCAUCUUGUUCCCUCGCAUCUCUGCUCUUUGACCCCCUCACAUGUCCCUCUUUUCUCCCUCACAUUUCCUCUUAUCCCUCACGUUUCCCACCUUCUCCUCUCACAUUUCUACCAUCCUGUCCCAUCACAUCUCCACUCUUUUCCCUAUACAUUUCCCACCAUAUUCCCCCUCACAUUACCCUUUACCCCAUCACAUUUCCUACCUUAUCCCUCAUAUUUUGCAUCCAUUUCUCCCUUCAUGUUUCUCAUGCUUUUCUCCCCUCGUUUCCCGCUCUUUUCUCCCCUCACGUUUCCUGCCCUUUUCUCCCCUCAUGUUU
Parus major (Great Tit) is the source of this 1616-nucleotide long non-coding RNA. Lineage: Eukaryota; Metazoa; Chordata; Aves; Passeriformes; Paridae. The record is from Ensembl.